CCCUACGGGGGGCAGCAGUAGGGAAUCUUCCACAAUGGGCGAAAGCCUGAUGGAGCAACGCCGCGUGGGUGAAGAAGGUCUUCGGAUCGUAAAACCCUGUUGUUAGAGAAGAAAGUGCGUGAGAGUAACUGUUCACGUUUCGACGGUAUCUAACCAGAAAGCCACGGCUAACUACGUGCCAGCGGCCGCGGUAAUACGUAGGUGGCAAGCGUUAUCCGGAUUUAUUGGGCGUAAAGAGAACGCAGGCGGUCUUUUAAGGCUGAUGUGAAAGCCUUCGGCUUAACCGGAGUAUUGCAUUUGAAACU
This 305-nucleotide ribosomal RNA is filed under the name uncultured bacterium. RNAcentral describes it as "bacterial SSU rRNA". It matches the Rfam family "Bacterial small subunit ribosomal RNA", at positions 337 to 634 of the family's 1533-position model. The record is from RNAcentral.